UACGGAGGGUGCGAGCGUUGUCCGGAAUCACUGGGCGUAAAGGGCGCGUAGGCGGCGCGGGGAGUCAACGGUGAAAGCUCGGCGCUCAACGCCGAGUCGGCCGUCGAUACUCCCGUGCUCGAGCACUGUAGAGGCAGGUGGAAUUCCGGGUGUAGCGGUGGAAUGCGUAGAGAUCCGGAAGAACACCGGUGGCGAAGGCGGUUAGCUGGGCAGUUGCUGACACUGAGGCGCGACAGCGUGGGGAGCAAACAGG
This 253-nucleotide ribosomal RNA is filed under the name uncultured bacterium. RNAcentral describes it as "partial 16S ribosomal RNA". It matches the Rfam family "Bacterial small subunit ribosomal RNA", at positions 524 to 776 of the family's 1533-position model. The record is from RNAcentral.